Molecule: ribosomal RNA, 486 nt
Filed under: uncultured bacterium
Lineage: Bacteria
Description: partial 16S ribosomal RNA
Rfam family: Bacterial small subunit ribosomal RNA
Source: RNAcentral
GACGAACGCUGGCGGCGUGCUUAACACAUGCAAGUCGAACGCUGAAGACCUGGCUUUUGUUGGGUUGGAUGAGUGGCGAACGGGUGAGUAACACGUGAGUAACCUGCCCUCUUCUUUGGGAUAACGCCCGGAAACGGGUGCUAAUACUGGAUAUUCACUGGCCUUCGCAUGGGGGUUGGUGGAAAGGUUUGUUCUGGUGGGGGAUGGGCUCGCGGCCUAUCAGCUUGUUGGUGGGGUGAUGGCCUACCAAGGCUUUGACGGGUAGCCGGCCUGAGAGGGUGACCGGUCACAUUGGGACUGAGAUACGGCCCAGACUCCUACGGGAGGCAGCAGUGGGGAAUAUUGCACAAUGGGCGAAAGCCUGAUGCAGCGACGCCGCGUGAGGGAUGGAGGCCUUCGGGUUGUAAACCUCUUUCGCUCAUGGUCAAGCCGCAACUGUGGGUUGUGGUGAGGGUAGUGGGUAAAGAAGCGCCGGCUAACUACGUG